CGUGCCACCUUUCCCUUGUCGGAUCCAUUUUCGUGCUCAAAGCCUGAUGGUCAUUUUGGCUCUAUUUUUGGUCAGAUCUUGGUUUUUACCUAUUGCUUCUUUGAACUCCUCUCUCGUUAGUGGGUUUUAGAUUUGGAAGCUCAUUUUUUUUAGAAUCUGGACGUGUUUAUAUCCAAAUUUUGGAUUUAAUUAUAUAUAUGUUUAGAGUAAUGAAGUGGGUAAGCAUC
This 227-nucleotide long non-coding RNA is filed under the name Elaeis guineensis (African oil palm). RNAcentral describes it as "long non-coding RNA (EGUI_LNC036483)". The record is from RNAcentral. Lineage: Eukaryota; Viridiplantae; Streptophyta; Magnoliopsida; Arecales; Arecaceae.